Molecule: long non-coding RNA, 548 nt
Organism: Periophthalmus magnuspinnatus
Lineage: Eukaryota; Metazoa; Chordata; Actinopteri; Gobiiformes; Gobiidae
Exons: 3
Source: RefSeq, a predicted model, not a curated record
AAAGAAGCUGCUCCUCUCACUUCACUACGGAGCCAAAGAGCAGCCAACUCUAGACCAGAAGGAGCCAGAGCACCGCUUCACUUCACUCCAGGCAAAAUGAGCAAACUGUUUGUAUUCCUCUUCUUGGCCGGACUGGUCUGUGAAACCUACCAGCAGUUCGUACCCAUACCUGUGCCAGAUAAACCGAAUGGCUGUGAUAACCCUGCUGCUCAACUGAAGGGGGAGAACAGCGAUCGUGCAGUCAUCGAUGGUAAUAAAGGCCUGCACCUUGGACAGGAAACGGCUCCGCCCCCUUUCAUUACGAUACCAAUGCCAUAAAUAAUAAAGGAAGAGCAAAGGGAAGCUGCAUUCAGAAGAAUAAUCAAUGUACUGCUGUAUCACAUCUGUGUAGUUCUGUAAUCAUCUGGAUUGUGGCUGUCAUUAUGUGGUUCUUCUGUCUUAAGCCAGUCUAUGUUCCUUAUGGUCCAUCAGUAAGGAAUGAGUGUCAAUGAAUGGCUAAAAAACCUUUUAACUAUGAUCUAUUGCAUAUAUAAAAAAUAAAAAAAAAU